UUCAUUACAGUAAGCCUAUGGCUUCGGGGGCGAACAAGCCAGGCGCGGUCGACCCUUCGGGGCGUGGCAGCGUCGCGGCUCCCCGAAUCGUUAUGCUUUAGCGGGUGUGUUGCGGCCCUCGAGGCCCCGGACCGGCUCGACAGUGGUCAGCCGGCACGGGAACCAGCUCCGGGAGGUGUAGGGCUCCUCGUGGAGCCCUUUCACGCGCACAUGACUGAAUCCUUACUCUACUCGUACCUCUCGUUCUCCCUCGGCGGGCGACCUGCCGUGGGAACCGCAAACGAACCCUUCUUUGCAUCUAGCAUUACCUGUUCCGAUACCCACAAUCGUUA
This 332-nucleotide unclassified non-coding RNA is filed under the name uncultured Ascomycota. RNAcentral describes it as "sequence contains ITS1". The record is from RNAcentral. Lineage: Eukaryota; Fungi; Ascomycota.